Molecule: long non-coding RNA, 39270 nt
Filed under: Hordeum vulgare
Lineage: Eukaryota; Viridiplantae; Streptophyta; Magnoliopsida; Poales; Poaceae
Description: long non-coding RNA (HVUL_LNC000104)
Source: RNAcentral
CCAGCCCCAACAACCAUUCCGCCAACAAGCAGAACUAAUAAUUCCCCAGCAACCUCAACAACCAUUCCCUCUGCAGCCACACCAACCAUAUACACAACAAACCAUCUGGAGUAUGGUCUAGUCAUCAGGGGCCUAUGAAGCGACAAGUUGUAAUACUAAAUGGGUGGAUCAUCAUCCUUUAGUCAACGGAGUGUUUAAUGUAAUGAUGAUAAAUAAAGUGAUGUGCACCAUCAUGUNNNNNNNNNNUUUUUUGUUUCCCUUGCGACGUUCCCCAACAGCCGCAACAACCAUUCCCCCAACAAACACACCAACCAUUUCCCCAACAACCACAACAAAUAAUUUUCCACCAACCCCAACAAUCAUUCCCUCUGCAACCUCGACAACCAUUUCCCCAACCCCAUCCAUUCCCCAGCAGCGACCCCAACAAGCAUUCCCCCUACAAAUGCAACAACCAUUUCCCCAGGAAUCGGAACAAAUAAUUCCCCAACAACCAUUCCCUCUACAACCACAACAAUCAUUCCCCCAACAACCACAACAACCAUUUCCCCAGCCCCAACAACAAUUCCGCCAACAAGCAGAACUAAUAAUUCCCUAGCAACCUCAACAACCAUUCCCUCUGCAGCCACACCAAAUAUACACAACAAACCAUCUCGAGUAUGGUAUAGCCAUCAGGGGCCAAUGAAGUGAAAAUUUGUAAUACUAAAUGGGUGGAUCAUCAUCCUUUCGUCAACGAGUGUUUAAUGUAAUGAUGAUAAAUAAAGUGAUGUGCACCAUCAUGUGUAACCCCGGCCUAUACUAGUUCAAAUGAGAAUAAAAGACAAAGAAAGUUCUUGUCACAAGGACAGUGCUGGUAAUUAUUAAAUUCGUGCCAUAUUUAGAUUUUCAUCCCUAACUACAAUUUGAGUGAUAUCCAUUAUCUGCCUAUUUAUGAUGUGAAGUCCUAUGAGCCUAACAUAAUUAACGGUUGAUAGCUUGGUUUGAAUUGAAUUAUUAGCAAAUAAGGAGUAAGGAAUAAUUNNNNNNNNNNGUUAAAUUCAUGCCAUAUUUAGAUUUUCAUCCCUACUACAAUUUGAGUGAUAUGCAUUAUCUACCUAUUUAUGAAGUGAAGUCCUAUGAGCCUAACAUAAUUAAUGGUUGAAAGCUUGGUUUGAAUUGAAUUAUUAGCAAAUAAGGAGUAAGGAAUAAUUGCAAAUUAUCCCUUCGAUGUCUAGCCAUAUGAAUUGUGUGACCUUAUCGUUUGUAAUGAUUCUAGAUUGUACAUAUACAUUUUUCUAAUUGUUGAGCGACAUAUGAAGCAACAUAUGGUGACCGACCACUGGUCUCGGUGUAAAUCUCAGUAGCAGCUUUAUAUCGAAGGGAGUGAGAUGAUGAUGACUUCGUGUUGAAUUUUGUAGUUAUUUAAAUAGUUUCUAAAAUGGACCGGUUGCUCAUAUUAGAAAAUAUGGGCUUGCGCCAUAUCGAGUUUUUGGAAAUGGACAAGAUGAAGGGAUGAUUGAAUUUAUGCCUUCUAUUUCUCUUGCACAUGAAACUUGAGAUUGAAUAUGGUGGCAUUACAAGUUACUUACAGAAGUUCCAUAGACUAAUUAUGUCCACCUAGUAUAGCUACCCAAUGGUCGGAAGCUUUUAUUAAAAUUAGUGUUGGUCACACUAAAAUUAAUAUAUUAUGGGUGUUGGAUGUAGGAUGUUUUUUAAAACUUCAAUCUCCUUUAUUCAUUCAUAAGAAUCAUCGCAUUUUUACAACCAUGGGGACAAUUUCCUCAAGGGUAGACUGUAAGAAAAGAUUAGGACGGGAAUAUAUAUCCAGUCUAGCCAAUUCAUGUACAAAGAUGGUUGGUUUCCAUAUAACGGGGUUCAUAAAUUAUAUGAGUUAAAGUCUAAGGGCGUAAAAUAUCAGUCAUCAAAAAUAGCACUUGCAAUGAACGACAAGCUCCCCUCUUUGAUGGUAGUGAUCACUUCUAUAUUAUCCUCAUUGAUCUCAAAUUUAUUGCAUCCGCUCAUAUGUGCAAGAUUUAGACCAAACCUUCAGGAUAGGGCCUCUACUAUAAAAGCAUUAUAACUGGAAUCAACCUUCCCAUUUGUAUCUCCAAUGAAUUUUACAUUGUUACCCUUUAUCACCGCUCCAAAAACACCCUGAUAUGAGUCAAGGAUCAAACGAUGCAUCUAUGUUGAGUUUCGCANNNNNNNNNNAUAAUCAACCUUCCCAUUUGUAUCUGCAAUGAAUUUUACAUUGUUAACCUUUAUCACCGCUCCAAAAACACCUUGAUAUGAGUCAAGGAUCAAACGAUGCAUCUAUGUUGAGUUUCGCAUGGUCUCUUUGGGACAGUGUCUGCUUCGCAUUUUAUGCAACUCUAGAAAUUAUGAUAGCUAUAUAAUCUUCAAAAUGUACGCCAAAUUUGUGAAUGCAUUUUUUGGGUUGUUGUAUAUUUAGCAAUCUUCAACCACGAAUCAUGUACUGCUGCAUGUAUGAGACUAUUCAUGUUUUCUUUGAGGAAAGGAGACUAAUCAUGUUGCUUUAGAGAAAAACUUAUGAAUACAAAUGAAUAAACCAAGAAGUUUCUUGGUUGUCGAAGUAGAUUCUGAGAAGGGCUAUGUGCAUUAUUGGGAAUAAGCUUGUAAGCCACAGCGAGGCAGCAAGGUACACGGGACUCGGGGCGACCCUUGACGAUGCAGCCAUGGUGAAGAAACAGCUCGACACCGUGCCAGACCGACUAUACACCACGGUGGCCGCCAUCGAGAAGUUCUGCGACACUCAUGCGUUCGUUCAGGNNNNNNNNNNUGCUCGAAACCGUGCCAGACCGGCUAUACACCGCGGUGGCCGCCAUCGAGAAUUUCUGCGACACUCAUGCGUUCGUUCAGGUGCUCGGGCGGUUGAAAGCGUUCGAGGAGAGGAGGUAGCAACGCACACACGCCGGCGGCAAGCGGGCAGCUGAUGCUCACGACAGCCCAAUGGGAGGCGCGGCGGCGACAGAAGGACGACGGCUCCGACGACUACGGGGCAUCGAGCACGUCUUCGGGCAGCUGGAAGAAGAGUCGCACGCGCAACUACAACUGCGGGCAGCGGGGCCACUUCGAGCGCGACUGUCCCAAACCGUGGUAGGUGCCGGCAGCGGAGCUGGCGUUGCAGGCAGAUGUCGGCGACGACUUCGGCGGGCUGGGGCUCCUCUAGGCCGUAGCUUAGGGGGGUGUUGGAAAAACUUGUAAGCCACGACCAGGCCGGCUCGGGCGCGUGUGCCUGAGCGCGCGAGGCUGAAUCGAGUGCGGCCAUGGUAGGUGACUCGGGCGUGUCAGGUGCGUUUGUGCGUGUGUGACUGCGUGUACGGGGAAGUCCUUGCGGAUGCGCAGGGUGUGCAUGAGCAUAGGUCUUCAUCGCCGAGGCUUGACCUGUGACCAGUGGCGGAGGCAGGGGUGCUCGCAAGGGUCGUGGCUCCCACUAUGCUCUCACAAAUACACCUAUAUGUAGUCCUAAUCCUCCAUUUGUGAAACACAGUUAGCUAGGUUUAGGUGAUUUGGGCCCCUCUAUCAUUAUACGACAUAUUUUGUCCCCUUCUAUAUUCAAUUUCUGGCUCCGCCACUGCAUGUGUCCGACUCGUGUGUGGGCAUAGUCUGAAUUGUGUCCGACUAAUGUACAGGCCAUGUAUGGGUUGCGUACGGGAGACUCUUGCCGCGCAUCUCCUCGCACAGUGCCACGUGUCCGGCUGGGUGGGGGCGGCUGGAAAAGUUCUCAUCCCAAAUGAAAAAAUUCCGUCGGGGCAACCCGAGGAGGCCGAAAAAANNNNNNNNNNNNNNNNNNNNNNNNNNNNNNNNNNNNNNNNNNNNNNNNNNNNNNNNNNNNNNNNNNNNNNNNNNNNNNNNNNNNNNNNNNNNNNNNNNNNUUUUAUAUGUUCCUAGAGAAAAUUUAGUUGAAAAUUGAUAGUAGCAACCUUUGCAGACUGAGUCUGUAAAACCGAGGAUUGUCCUCGUUGCUACACAGAAGGCUUAUGUCCUUAAUGCACCACUCGGUGUGCUGCACCUCGAGCGUCGUCUGUGGAUGCUAUGAACAUCCGACAUACACGUUACUGAUGACUACACGAUAGUUCAGUGCAAGAUACUUGAUGGCUUAGAAGCAAGGCGCCGAAAACGUUGUAAAACGUCACAGAACAUAAGUGAUGUUCCGAAGAGAUGAAAUUGUGAUUUCAUGCUUGUGCCCUUGUUAAGAGGUGUGAGACCUCCAAACAAGAUUCUUUGUCCACAAAGUAAAGGAGAAAAGCUCAAUCGUUGAGCGUGUGCUUAGAUUGUCUGAGUACGACAAUCGCUUGAAUCAAGUGGGAGUUAAUCUUCCAGGUGAGAUAGUGAUGGUUCUCCAAAGUCAUUGCCACCAAGCUAUGAGAGCUUCGUGAUGAACUAUAACAUAUCAAGGAUAGAUACUAUGAUCUUUUGAGCGAUUCGCGAUGUUUGACACUGCGAAAGUAGAAAUCAAGAAGGAGCAUCAAUAGUUGAUGGUUUGUAAAACCACUGAGUUUCAAGAAAGGCAAGGGCUAGAAGGGAUACUUCGUGAAACGACAAAGCAGUUGCUGCACUAAUGAAGAGACCCAAGAUUAAACCCAAACCCGAGACUAAGUGCUUCUGUAAUGAGGGGAACAAUCACUGAGGUGGAGCAACUCUAGAUACUUGGUAGAUACGAAGGCUGGCAAAAGUCGAAGGAAGUAUAUUUGAUAUACAUGAUGUUGAUGUGUACUUUACUAGUACUCCUAGUAGCAUGAGGGUAUUGGAUACCGGUUCGGUUGCUAAGUGAUUAGUAACACGAAAUGAAAGCUACNNNNNNNNNNGUCACUGAGGCGGAAACAAUUCUAGAUACUUGGUAGAUAAGAAGGCUGGCAAAAGUCGAAAGAAGUGUAUUUGAUAUACAUAAUGUUGAUGUGUACUUUACUGGUACUCCUAGUAGCAUGAGGGUAUUAGAUACCGGUUCGGUUGCUAAGUGAUUAGUAACACGAAAUGAAAGCUACGCCAUAAACGGAGACUAGCUAAAGGCGAGGUGACGAUACGUGUUGGAAGUGUUUCCAAGGUUGAUAUGAUCAAACGUCGCAUGCUCCCUCUACCAUCGGGAUUGGUGUUAAACCUAAAUAAUUGUUAUUUGGUGCUUGCGUUAAGCAUGAACAUGACUGGAUCGUGUUUAUUGCAAUACGAUUAUUCAUUUAAAGAGAAUAAUGGUUACUCUAUUUUCUUGAAAAAUCACCUUCAAUGGUUUAUUGGAUCUCGAUCGUAGUGUUACACAUGUUCAUGAUAUUGGUGCCAAAAGAUACGAGGUAAUGAUGAUAGUACCACUUACUUGUGGCACUGCCGCUUAAGUUAUGUUGGUAUAAAUUGCAUGAAGAGGCUCCAUGCUGAUGGAUCUUUAUACUCACUUGAUUUUGAAUCACUAGUGACAUGCAAAUCAUACCAGGCCUUGUUUUCAUUGAGAUGAAAUAAGAUAGUAACUUGUUGGAAGUGAUACAUUUUGAUGUAUGCAGUCCAAUGGGUGCUGAGGCACGCAGUGGAUAUCAUUAUGUCCUUACUUCAAUGACGAUUUGAGUAGAUACUAGAGUAUUUGCUUAAUGAAUCACAAGUCUGAAAUAUUGAAAAGUUCAAUUCUGUUUCGGAGUGAAGUUCGUCGUAACAAGAGGAUAAACUGUCUACGAUAUGAUCAUAGAAAUGAAUAUCUGAGUUACGAGUUUUGGUACGCAGUUAAGACAAUGNNNNNNNNNNUCUUACUUCACUGACGAUUUGAGUAGAUACUAGAGUAUUUACUUAAUGAAUCACAGGUCUGAAAUAUUGAAAAGUUCAAUUCUGUUUCAGAGUGAAGUUCGUCGUAACAAGAGGAUAAACUGUCUACGAUAUGAUCAAAGAAAUGAAUAUCUGAGUUACGAGUUUUGGUACGCAGUUAAGACAAUGUGGAAGUUAUUUCGCAGUUCAUGCCACCUGGAACAUCAUAGUGUGAUGAUGUGUCUGAACAUCAUAGCCACGCACUAUUUGGUAUAAUACAUACUAUGGUGUCUCUUAUCGAAUUACCACUAUCGUUUAUGGGUUAUGCAUUAGAGACAACCGCACUCACUUUAAAUAGGGCACCGCGUAUUUCCGUUGAAGAUGACACAGUAUAGACUGAGGUUUAGAGAAAUCUAAACUGUCGUUUCUUGAAAGUUUGGGGUUUCGACACUUAUGUGAAAAAGUUUCAGUCUGAUAAGCUCGAACCCAAAGCGGAUAAAUGCAUCUUCAUAGGAUAUCCAAAACAGUUGGGUACAUCUCCUAUCUCAGAUCCGAAAGCAAAGUGUUUGUUUCUAGAAACAGAUCCUUUCUCGAGGAAAGGUUUCUCUCGAAAGAAUUGAGUGGGAGGGUGGUAGAACUUGAUGAGGUUAUUGAACCAUNNNNNNNNNNNNNNNNNNNNNNNNNNNNNNNNNNNNNNNNNNNNNNNNNNNNNNNNNNNNNNNNNNNNNNNNNNNNNNNNNNNNNNNNNNNNNNNNNNNNAGAUCGGAAGAGNGGACCAUUAGCCCCGGUUCGGGGCCAAACCGGGGCUAGCAUUAGUCCCGCUUUGUUAGUACUUAGUCCCGGUUCGUGAACCGGGGCUAAUGGUCCAAACGAACCAGGGCUAUAGCCCCGUUUUCUACUAGUGUUGUGUUGUGUUCGAGAGAUUAAGAAAGUUCAGGUCCAAACCGUCAUAUGCACGCCAUACAUGAAUACGCUUUUAUCCCUGUACCACUGAUAACCCCGGUUAGCUACUAGUUAAUGCAUAUAGCUACUCCAUAGCAGUUAGCUACUAAUUAAUGCACGUACAUAUAUGACAAGUGAGUUGGCCGAGCAUGGCUUCAGGUUAUGCCCAUAUCUUGGUCUAUUGGGAUAUACAUGUUCCUCAUUAAAGAAAGCAUAAUAAUACUGGUAGUUAUUCCAAACAUUUCGAUUACACAUUCAUUGGCCAAAAAUUAGACAACUACAUAAUGAAAUUCACUUUUACUAUAUUACAAUGAAAUACACUACUCGAGNNNNNNNNNNNNNNNNNNNNNNNNNNNNNNNNNNNNNNNNNNNNNNNNNNNNNNNNNNNNNNNNNNNNNNNNNNNNNNNNNNNNNNNNNNNNNNNNNNNNCUUUAGUCCCGGAUCGAGCCACGAACCGGGACUAAAGAUCCACCUGUAUAAGCGGGAGUUAGAAACUUUCGAACCCAAAUCGUCCAUUUCUCUUCUUCUUCCUCUCGUUCUCCUGCCCGGCGCGGCAAGCGACGAACUCGACGACGCCGUCAGGCUGCCCGCCGUCCUGCUCGCCGCCGCGUGCCGUCCUCCUCGCCGUCGCCGUCGUCCUGCUCGCCGCCGCCGUCCUCCUCGCCGCGCGCCGCCCUCCUCGCUGCGCGCCGCCGUCCUCCUCGCCGCGCACCGUCGACACCUCCGGCCGGUAAGCCCCACGCCCCCUCCUCCCCAACACUCCGGCCAGCACAAGCAAAGAAGAAAAAGGAGAANNNNNNNNNNNNNNNNNNNNNNNNNNNNNNNNNNNNNNNNNNNNNNNNNNNNNNNNNNNNNNNNNNNNNNNNNNNNNNNNNNNNNNNNNNNNNNNNNNNNNNNNNNNNNNNNNNNNNNNNNNNNNNNNNNNNNNNNNNNNNNNNNNNNNNNNNNNNNNNNNNNNNNNNNNNNNNNNNNNNNNNNNNNNNNNNNNNNNNNNNNNNNNNNNNNNNNNNNNNNNNNNNNNNNNNNNNNNNNNNNNNNNNNNNNNNNNNNNNNNNNNNNNNNNNNNNNNNNNNNNNNNNNNNNNNNNNNNNNNNNNNNNNNNNNNNNNNNNNNNNNNNNNNNNNNNNNNNNNNNNNNNNNNNNNNNNNNNNNNNNNNNNNNNNNNNNNNNNNNNNNNNNNNNNNAAGAAAGGAAGAAAAAGGGAAGAAAGGAAGAAAAAGGAAAGAAAGGAAGAAAAAGGAGAAUAAGAAGAGGAGGAGAAGAAAAGAAGAAAAAGGAGAAUAAGAAGAGGGGGAGAGGAGAAGAAGAGGAAAAAUAGAAGAAGAGGAGAGGAGAAGUAGUAGAAGAAGAGGAGAAGUAGAAGAAGAAGAAGAAGUAGAAGAAGAGGAGAAAUAGAAGAAGAGAAAAAAUUAGUUUAGGGUUACAAGAAGAAGAAAUAUUUUUUUUGUCAUUUAAUUUUGCUAUUGUAUAGUGUAUAUGCUUAAGUGUUAAUAGUGUUUCUUAGAUUAUUGCUUAAUUUUGCUAUUGUAUAUGCUGAAGUGUUAAUAGUUUAAUUUUUCUAUUGUAUAUGCUUAAGUGUUAAUAGUUUAUUUUUAGCAAAAAAAUUAAUAGAACUAGUUUAAUUUUGCUAUUCUAUAUGCUUAAGUGUCCGGGACUGGGCUCCGCCCGGCUGGUAUUUUAGAGUUUAGGUUCUAGCCAAGACCCGGGACUAAAGGUCCUCCUAUAUAGAACGAGCCUUCGAAGUUUCCAACCCCUCUUAUAUAGUUUGUUAGUUUAUUAGUUAAUCAAAUGUCCGUUUUUUGCAGAACUAUGGAUCCACAUAUCAGGAACCUCGAAGAGGAAGAACUUCUCGAAGAUAUAAUCAAAGACGGCCCCGACGUUGAACCAGCCAAAUCUCCGACGUCAUAUCUAAACGACUCCGGAUAUGGAAUGGAGGUCGAGCGACACGAAGAUGAAGCCGAUGGGGCAGGAGAUAGGUCCAAUGACGGAGAAGGUGAUAGCUCCACUGAUGGAGAAGCCGGUGAAGAAAUAAUAAAGUCCGGCGAGGUAUACAUAUGAAGUUCGACAAUCACUUGUAAUAUGUGAAAAAUAUUGGAGAUAGCUCUAUAUUGUAUACAUAUACAUUCAUUUGACGAAUGUUUCUCCCUCUUAGGCCUCCACAUCGAGCAAAUCUACGAAACGAGGCCCGACUAGAAAGUUGGAUGCACGGACGCAUUACACCUUUGAGGUGAUAAUGCCUACGGGCAAACCCAAGCUUCCUAAGAAUGCUGCUGACACAUUCAAGAAGCAAUGCGGAGUUCUCGUUAGGGAUCACGUCCCGAUCAGCGUUCGGGGGUGGAACAAGCGCAAAGGGGCAGCCGAUAGUGACUAUGUCGCCGAAAGGUACAAAGAUAAUCUUUGGAAUGAUCUCAUGUCACAUUUCAACCUGCCAGAAUGUGAGAAUGAAGACGCCGCAGACAAACUGAGGGCCAAAGUCAAGCAGUGGACUCUAAAGAAGAUGCCCGAACUGUUCCGUAGCUGGAAGAAGAAGCUAUGGAAAAACUAUCUGAAGACAAAGAAAGUGCCAGUAUUCGAGGGGUAUCUAGCCAAGCAGGCGAAUCACUGGAAGGAAUUUCAAGAGUACAAGGAGUUAGAAGAUGCCCAGGCAUUAUCAUAAAAGAACAAGAUAAAUGCCGACAAGAAGAAAUAUCACCACAAGCUGGGGCCAGGGGGCUAUGAGACUGCCAUCCCAAAGUGGGAAAAGAAAGAGCAAGAUCUGAUAGAUAAAGGCAUCGUACCUGAACCACUUCGUGAUGAGUGGGAAUUGAGAGCAAGAAAUUGGUUCCUUGCGCAUGGUGGGUCGUACGAUGAGACAACAGGGGACCUCAUCUGCAAUGACAAUCUUAGGAUACCCAGGGAGAAUUGGAAAAGGAUAGUGAAAGAAAUUAAGGAGGGAUAAAGAAAGUUCACUGCAGAUAGAGAUAAAGAUUUGCUCACACUGGUCCUCGGCAAUGACGAACAUGGAGGACGAACGCGAGGCUUCGGUCCAUCUUACCCGUGGUGGCUUGGGUUUGCCAGAGACCAAGACACUUACAGAAGCCGAGAGAGAGCAAAGAAGCGGCAGCAGGUUGAGGAGAAUGACAAGUUCAACCAGUUGCUUGCCAGGAUUAACGAGCAACAGAAGCAGAUUGAUGAGCUUAGAGGAGUACCGCGCCAGGAAGAUCCUGCACUUGAUAUUACCGGCGCCCCAUCUAAGCGGAAAAGCAGCGUGGCUGAAUCUGAGGCCCCGCCCGACGAUGAACGAAGAAUGAUAGAGGGCGGUCCCGGCUACCCCGUGGAUGGAAUCAAGGAGUCAACAUCAUGUGAACUCCAUCAGAAAUUCAAGAACAUGUCCAUGAAGGUGGCCGUCGGACAAGCUUUACCUUCUGGCCCUGAUGCACGCUGGCAUGGCCGUGAGAUUCCAGCUGGCUUUGCUAAAGUCGGGGUGGAUGAAAUCAUGACGGGGUUUAGUGAUAUGGAGCUCGACAUAGCUGGACCCGAAGAUGAGAGGACACUCGGAGAAGUACUGGGUGGACUCAUCCUAUGGGACAAGAACUACAUCAAGCUUCCAGGCUCGGCCCGAAGGACAACACCGCCUCCGAGUCGUCGCAGGUCACCUACACCUCCAUUACCUCCAAGCCCUCCACAUGACGUCGGCCAGCACAACACGAGUCCAUCUCGAUCACCGCUGCCGGACUUGGGUCGUCCGUCUCCGUCGCCGCCCGCUCCAGAUACAAAGCCUGAGCCUNNNNNNNNNNNNNNNNNNNNNNNNNNNNNNNNNNNNNNNNNNNNNNNNNNNNNNNNNNNNNNNNNNNNNNNNNNNNNNNNNNNNNNNNNNNNNNNNNNNNNNNNNNNNNNNNNNNNNNNNNNNNNNNNNNNNNNNNNNNNNNNNNNNNNNNNNNNNNNNNNNNNNNNNNNNNNNNNNNNNNNNNNNNNNNNNNNNNNNNNNNNNNNNNNNNNNNNNNNNNNNNNNNNNNNNNNNNNNNNCACGGAUACAAAGCGGGAUCGUGCCACCAAGAACGCUCCGCCGCCGCCCGCUCCGGAUACAAAGCCUGAGCCUGCCACAGAUACAAAGCGGGAGCGUGCCACCAAGAACGCUCUGCUGCCGCCCGCUCCGGAUACAAAGCCUGAGCCUGCCACGGAUACAAAGCGAGAGCGUGCCACCAAGAACGCUCCACCGACGAUUCCUAAGCCACAGAGCACCCCAAAGCGCAAAUGGUCGCCCCUCCCAAAGGUACGUCAUGCUAAUCUUCCUAUCGGACCUUAUGAUCGUACCCCCUUCCAUCACAGUAUGACUUACACCAUAAGCCUGAUGACUAUACACGCACAUUGCAGAAGGAAGUGAAAAAGAGCAGAUCACGUGCAAGCCCUCCACAUGACGUCGGCCAGCACAACACGAGUCCAUCUCGAUCACCGCCGCCGGACUUGGGUCGUCCGUCUCUGCCGCCGCCCGCUCCGGAUACUAAGCGGGAGCGUGCCACCAAGAACGCUCCGCCGACGAUUCCUAAGCCACAGAGCACCCCAAAGCGCAAAAUGUCGCCCCUCCCAAAGGUACGUCAUGCUAAUCUUCCUAUCAGACCUUAUUACUUACACCAUAAGCCUGAUGACUAUACACGCACAUUGCAGAAGGAAGUGAAAAAGAGCAGAUCACGUGCAAGUGCAAGUGGGAGCAAAUCAAGUUCAACUACAAGCAAGAUAAAAUAAGACGUUCCUCAGCUUGGACAACAGGCCAAAUAGUCGAUCCCACCCCUCAAGGUGUUAACCGAGAAUGUUCCCCCUCCGGUGCAGGGGCUAGCUUUAGAAAGUUCAAAGGAGUUGGCGGCUGCAUGUGGUGUCUCGGUUGAAGAAUUGUUGUCUUCCCAAGACGACAAGAUACCCAAGGCUGUGGUAGCCCAUAAGCCACAGUUUGUCAUGGGUGAGCCUUUGGUGAGCAAAGAUUAUCUCCCAACAAAUAUGCGUUACUUGCAUCAAUGGUACUUAAGUGAAUCAAAGAACGGGAGAACGAUGAUCGUGCUGAGUGUCCCACAGGAGUACUACGGCCGCCCCGAACAAAUCCAUAUCGACUUUGAUGAACUCUUCCAGAUGUACAAUGGCGACGCCCUCGAAAAAUCGCUUAUGAGUUGCUAUUGUCUGUAAGUUUUUCAAUUCGUUGUCUACAUAUAACUUGUUUAGUUAUUUCAAUUCAUUGUCUAUAUAUAACUUGUACUCUAUUAUGCAGAAUGAAGAUUCUGGAUUGUAAAAGUAAGUGCAUCCUAAAUAUUGGGUUUAUUGACCCAUACAUAUAGCGACGCUAACUAAUUAUCCCAAGGAGACGGAGGAAAACCUUCUAAGGUUUCUAAUAGAUCAAAAUUUCUGUGACCACAUACUGUAUCCAUACAACUUCAGGUGAGGGUCUUUACUCUGUUGUGUCCAUUCACUUAUAAGUGUAAUUGGUAAGUUACUGACACACACACACACAUAUAUAUACAUGUGCAGCUUCCAUNNNNNNNNNNNNNNNNNNNNNNNNNNNNNNNNNNNNNNNNNNNNNNNNNNNNNNNNNNNNNNNNNNNNNNNNNNNNNNNNNNNNNNNNNNNNNNNNNNNNNNNNNNNNNNNNNNNNNNNNNNNNNNNNNNNNNNNNNNNNNNNNNNNNNNNNNNNNNNNNNNNNNNNNNNNNNNNNNNNNNNNNNNNNNNNNNNNNNNNNNNNNNNNNNNNNNNNNNNNNNNNNNNNNNNNNNNNNNNNNNNNNNNNNNNNNNNNNNNNNNNNNNNNNNNNNNNNNNNNNNNNNNNNNNNNNNNNNNNNNNNNNNNNNNNNNNNNNNNNNNNNNNNNNNNNNNNCAAUUAAUGAAAAACUUACCAAAUCAUUAUCCUUGUCGGGCAGGGUUUGGAAGCGGUUCAAGUGCGUGACUCCCGGUAACUUUCAUGAGAAGCUGACCUCUAGAGCGGCUCAGGUAAGUAGUAGUAUGAUAUACUUCUAUUAAUUUUCAAUACAUUUAUGAUGCUAGAUUAUUAUUUUGAUUAUAUAUAUUCUAUUCUCGUAAAGUGCGACCAGCAGCCACGGGGAACGCAUCUAUGCGGAUACUAUGUUUGCGAGACCAUUCGCACGUUUACCUCUGAUCACAGAUUCGGCAUAAGCAAUGAACAUUCACACCUCUAUUUUUACCCGUCAUUCUUUGUUAUCAUGAUUGAUAUUCAUAUUCAUCUCCUCUUCUUAUAUAGCACACGGCCAUGACGACGAAGGUCCUACCAGAGCAACGCGCGAUUGCUGUUGCAGAGGAGCUUGCGACCUUUCUGAGGACGGAGCUAUAGAUGACAAAGGACGAUUUAGUGUAGCUAGGGGCCAUUACUGAUGUUCGUCCAUGUAAUCGAAUAGACGGGCAUUAGUCCCGAUAAUUCAGAUCUCAACAUAAUUGUAUAUAUAUGCUCGCUUGUAAGAUAAGUUAAUCUUAUAUAUAUAUGCAUAAUUAUUUCUAUUUAAAUUAUAUGAAAACUAAUUCCCGAACACCAAACGAGGCAUCACGUUAAUCUCCCGAACACCUAAACCCUAAAACCCUAAAACCCAAAAAUAAUUUCAUUCAAAAAAACCAAAAAUAAGCAAAAUCUGAAAAUCUUUAGUCGCGGUCCUUGUAACGAACCGGGACUAAAGGGCUUGCCCCUGGGGCGCUACGAGGCGCCCACGUGGAGCACCUUUAGUCCCGGCUUGUAACAGGGCCGGGACGAAAAGGUUAGGCCUUUAGUCCCGCCCCUUUAGUCCCGGUUGGUGAACCGGGACUAAAGCCCCUUACGGGCCGGGGCUAAAGGCCCCGUCCCCACUAGUGGGGCUGACAUCCCCCCGCAGUCGGAGCGGGAGCGUCGGGGACCGUGUCGCAUCGCGGGCGCGUGGACUGUAGAGGAAGCCAAUGAGUUGCUCAAGCGAGGUGAUAGCCCUUUGUGUCGAUGUCGAGGUAGCCGAGAGCAUAGGGUGGUGUAGUCGUGGUCAAGGUAGCCGUGCGAAGAAUGCCUUGGUCGACGUCGAAUCGGGGAAGCCGGUGCCGAGGAAGUUGUCAUAGAGCCGCGGGCGCAAGGAAGCGCCGAGUUAGUCAUGGGCGCAGUAGUGUCGAAGUAGUAAUGCACCAGGAAGAAGACGUAGUUGAGACGCGUCACGCCGAGUUUGCCAAGCCCGGGGACACAUCAUGGAAGAAGGCACGCAUCGGUGCUGCCAGCACCACGGAUGCGUAGACGGACGAAGUCGAUUAUGACGAUGCGUCGCUCCAGGUUUGCCAGGCCUGGGAACACACCGGGGCGACGACACGCGUCGGUGUUCCAGCACUGGGCAUGCGUAGACGGGGACCUGCACACAACCUAUACGCCAUGUCGAGGAUGCAAGCAGAGAAGGACCCGAUGACAGUUGCGGCGCAAAUCGGCGGGGGCUGAUGUAGCCCGCGGUGGUCGGAGAAGACGAAGUGGUCGGGGAAGACGACAGCGACGCUGGCGAUGAGCUGGUGCUGGACGAACAUGAAGGAGGUGGACGGGCGGUGUGGCUCGGGCGAGCGAGUUGCCGCAGCACCAAAGGAGAGCGACCGGCCUAAUGGCGGCGGCUGCGGCUGGUUAGGAGCGCUGCGGCGAUGUUCUCGCCCUCCAAGUCUUGUACCCAAUAUAUACUCGCCCAUGAGGCUCAGUAAUACAUCCAGCAUAAACAACUAUUCCACCAAGUCCUCAUGGUAUCCGCCGCAAGUUCCUUGACGUAGUCGCUCGCCGCUUCCGCACCGCGCGCCGCCCCCGGGGCGGUCGGCCUUCAUGACCGCCGCCGGGUGCUGCGCCGCAAUUACCUAGGUUUCGUUCGCCGGUCGUGUUGACCGGCUGCCCUAGAGAGUCUUUUCCCGAUCUCUUGAUCCAGAGUUUUCUCUCUUCCGCCGGUCACUUUGAUCGGCCUUUUCUUUUCGGUUUUUCAAUCAUAGAUCGGUUUGCGUCGCCCGUCGCCGCCAUCGACCACCGCGCCUCUACUCUGACAUCGGCGCGACCCGGCUUCUUCAUCGACCCGGCGACCUCGCGCAAACCCGGCGGCCCCUUAAAUCCGUCGUUCCCGCGCCGGCAAGCCCGUCGAUCUCCGUCGGUCGUCAUCGCCCUGCUCCGAUCGAGACUCCUGCAUUGCCCCGACCCGUCAGCCUCGCGCCAUGCGGCGGCCCAUCACAGCCAUCAUUCACGCGCGGCCUGCCCGUUGAUCUCCAUCGUCGCCUCGUCAGGUCGCUCCGCCGCCUGCCUCGGGCGGGCUGCCUCCGUCCGUGCCGCCUGCCUCGGGCUGGCUGCGUCGGGCCGGCUAGCUCCGGCCGCAUCGCAUGCCUCGGGUCGGCUGGGUCGGGCAGGCUCCCGACUCCGGCUGCAUCGGCCUCGUCGGCUGCGUCGGUCCGGUCGCGCCGCUUGCCUCAUGCCAGCUGCAGCCUCCGGCCGCCAUCCCGCCUCCAUCGAGCGACGUCCCCGACCUCGUGCGCGAUCGGAUUGAUCACCCGCCUGCGCGCGAUCCGCAUCAUCUACGGAUCGGUCGGUUGCAUGCGCCUCCACAGGUCUUGUGAAGGCUGUCUCGAGUACAACGCGUCGCUCCAUCGUUCGAGCAAUGGGCUGCCGUUGCGUUGCCCCGUCGGGCCGCAGCGCCGCCGCCCAGUGGUUCUCCUAAUGGUUGCGCCGACCCGUGAGCCGCUGCUACACCACCCCUUCGGGCUGUAGUGCGGUGGCACGCGGUCCCCGCUCCUGCCCGAGGCCGUCCCCAUGGCUGCACCGACCAGCGCACUGCCGCUGCGUCGACCCUUCGGCAUGUAGCGUUGCGGCACGCGGUCUACGCCACCUCCCCGAGGUCUUCCCGCCGUCACCCCGACCCAUGCCUUGUCGCUUCGUCUCCCCUUAGGGUCGUAGCGCCGCAGCACACGGUCCACUCCACCAUCCCCUCGCGUCGACUUCCUGUGGUAUGCACUAUUGGGGAACGUUGCAUGGGAAACAAAAAUGUUCCUAUGCACACGAAGAACUAUCAUGGUGAUGUUCAUCUACAAGAGGGAGAUUGGAUCCACAUACCCUUGUAGAUCGCUAAGCGGGAAGCGUUAAGAAACGUGGUUGAUGUGGUGGUACAGCUUCGUGAUUCAAAUCACCGUAGUCCCACGAUCCGUCCCGAUCUAGCACCGAACGGACGGCACCUCCGCGUUCAGCACACGUACAAUUCGAUGACGAUCUCCGCCUUCUUGAUCCAGCAAGAGAUACGUGGAAGUAGAUGAGUUCUCCGGCAGCAUGACGGCGCGCCGGUGUUGGUGAUGAUCUACUCCUCCAGGGCUCUGCCUGAGCUCCGCAGAAAUCCGAUCUAGAGGAAGAACUACGUGGUAUAGGUUUGAGUUGCACGUGGCAAAGUUGUGUCCCAAAAGCCCUAAAACCACCAAUAUAUAUAGGAGGAGGGGAGGGGCUAGCCUCAGGGCUCAAGGGCGCCCCAAGGGCGCCGGCAGAUGGGAGGAGGUGGACUCCCACCCUAAUUCGGUUUGGGGGAAGGAGUCCACUCCUUCCUUCCCACCUCCCUCUUUCCUUUUUUUCUUUCCUUUGGUAUUUGCUCUUGUGGCGCCAUAGCCCUCUUAGGCUGGCCUCACCAGCCCACUAAGGGAUGGUGCACCACCCUAGGAUUACAAGGCUCACUCCUGGGUGGGUGGGCCCCUCCCGGUGAAUACCCGGAACCCAUUCGUCACUCCCGGUACACUGUCGGUAAUGGCCGAAAUCUUUCCGGUGACCAAAUGAAACCAUCCUAUAUAUCGAUCUUCAUUUCCGGACCAUUCCGGAAACCCUCGUGACGUAUGUGAUAUCAUCUGGGACUCCGAACAACCUCCGGGCACCAACACAUAUAACUCAACUAUAUUAAAACAUCAUCGAACCUUAAGUGUGCAGACCCUGCGGGUUCGAGAAUUAUGCAUACAUGACCCGAGACACUCCUCGGUCAAUAUCCAAUGGCGGGACCUGGAUGUCCAUAUUGGAUCCUACAUAUUCUACGAAGAUCUUAUCGGUUGAACCUUUGUGCCAAGGAUUCAUAUAAUCCCGUAUAUCAUUCCCUUUGUCCUUCGGCACGUUACUUGCCCAGGAUUUGAUCGUCGGUAUCCCUAUACCUAUUUCAAUCUCGUUACCGGAAAGUAUCUUUACUCGUUUCGUAAAACAAGAUCCCGUGACUUGCACUUUGAGUCACAUUGCUUGCAAGGCUUGUAUGUGAUGUUGUAUUACCGAGUGGGCCCCGAGAUAACUCUCCGUCAUGCGGAGUGACAAAUCCCAUUCUUGAUCCAUGCUAACUCAACAGACACCUUCGGAGAUACCUGUAGAGCACUUUUAUAGUCACCCAGUAAUGUUGUGACGUUUGAUACACACAAGGUAUUCCUCCGGUGUCAGUGAGUUACAUGAUCUCAUGGUCAUAGGAAUGAACACAUGACACGCAGAAAACAAUAACAACAAAAUGACACGAUCACAUGCUACGUUUAUAGUUUGGGUCUAGUCCAACACAUGAUUCUCCUAAUGAUGUGAUCCAGUUAUCAAGUGACAACAUUUGCAUAUGAUCAGAAAACCUUAACCAUUCUUGAUCAACUUGCUUGCCAACUAGAGGCUUGCUAGGGACAUUGUUUUGUCUAUAUAUCCAUACAUGUAUCUAUGCUUUCAUUCAAUAAAUUAUAGCAUGGAUAAUAAAUGAUUAUCUUGAAACAGGAAAUAUAAUAAUAACUAUUUUAUCAUUGCCUCUAGGGCAUAUUUCCAACAGUCUCCCACUUGCACACACUACAACAAAUAUGCUCAUACAUGACGUUUUUUAAGACGUCGUUGAUGAAUUCGUCAUAAAUCUAUGACGAUUUCAUCUGACAUUGUCGUAAACCGUUUGAGGGAAUCAAAUCUACAUAUAAAUUACGACGAUGUGAGUCAAAAACGUCGUAACCGCAUAAGAUGAGAUCGUCAUAACUUUUACGACAAUUAUAAAAAUGUCGUAACAUGUUCUAACUAUGUUGACAUGUCAUUCAUGAGUCCAUUCUAUGUCACGCACCAAACCCGCCUAGUUUGUGAAGCAACCUACUAUUAUGUCAUUCCAAAAAAAUCUCGAAAAAUUCUCAUAAAUACUUUGGACCAUAUAUUACUCAAAUAUGUGAAAACCCUUCCUUCCAUAGUUCAAAAAUAAUCCAGCAAUAUCCGAGAGGUGGACAAAGAACUUUUAAGAGGGAACCAUUUGGUCAAUUUGUACAUAAAAUAGGUCGAUUAUUUUUGAAAAUUGUUGCGGUUCACUUUUGUAACUAAUAUUUGAUAUAUUAUUCACAUAGGUAAAAACAAAAAAGAGAAACAAAAAAAGAUAAACACAUUUACAUAAGCUUUAUUCUCAUUGGUGGAGAUGUUUGUGCCAUGGAUUGAUGACAUGCCACACAUCCAUCCAUCCAUCCACGACCGAACCCUAACUCCCAUUUGCCCUCACCUUGGCGUUUUUCCUUCUACACCCUCGCAUCCCUUUCUUUCUUUCCUUCAAUGGUGGUGGAUGCUUGCGGAACUGCCCUCGUGAAGCCAACAUGAUGGUGGUGGCGGCGGCGGUCGGCAUCGCCUUCGCGGUGCUGCAGUGGGUGCUCGUCUCCAAGGUCAAGGUCACCCCCGAGCCGUGCACCGAGGGAGGCGAGGCCUCUGCCGCCGGCGUCAAGUACGGUGCCAGCGAGUACCUCAUCGAGGAGGAGGAGGGCCUCAACGACAACAACGUCGUCCUAAAGUGCGCCGAGAUCAAGACCGCCAUCUCCGAAGGUGAGACGUGCACCCCCACACAUGGUUAUUUCUCAGAGGUCAUAGCUACUGGUCUGCGCUCUGCUCGCCGGCAGGCGUGGAUCGAUCCUAUGGUGGGGGUGCGUAGAUCUGGAACCCAUCAAGACGUACCGACUAAAAUGCUCGCAAAGUUAAUCCUACAAUGCACUGCCUUUUUUAGUAUUAGAAUCUGAAAUACUUGUUGCAUCUGUACGUAUGCAGAGGCGUGGUGAGAGGCGACACGAAGAAGCAUGAGGAGCUAGAGCUGCUGAUAAAGGACUACCCGUAUGCGGUGGACGAGAUGGAGAUCUGGACGGCGAUCAAGAAAUGGGUCACCGACUACUGCGUGAUAUACUACGCCGACGGGGACCGCGCCGUCGCGGCCGACAGCGAGCUGCAGCCGUGGUGGAGCGAGGUGCGAAAUGUGGGCCACGACGACCUGAGUAACGCGCCGUGGUGGCCGGCUAUGGACUGCGUCGACGACCUCGUCGAGACCUGCACCACCGCUACUAGUAGUUAGUUUCUCCUUCCUCGUUCGGAUUCUCCCUCCCCACCUCACCUCACCAUCUCCUCCUUUUAUUCCCUUUUGCUGCAGGUAACCAUGGCGCGGUUGGGACGGCGGUGACGGUAGGAGGGCGCCGGCCUUGUCCUGCUCGAGGAGUAGGGGUGCGCCCAGCCGGCAACACUGUCUUGCUCGAGAGGAGGGCAGAAGGGGUCUGCUCCUCUGCUUCCAUGGCGACCAAGAGGUCCUAGCCGAGCCGCCGCCGCCUUGGCCGCGCUGCCGGUGAUGAAGUUGGGGACGCUGCUGCUGCGCACGCUGUCCAAGCCUAUCGCCAACCGCCUCAAGAGCUAGGCAGCCGUCCACCCCAAGUUUCGCGACUUCAUCAUCAGCAUCGCCCAGGUUCGAUUCUCUUUGCUCUCUCGCAUCUCCUUUCCCAGGCAAGGAGGCCGCAGAACGAAGCUGUUGGGAGGCAAAUGAUCUACUCCUAGUUGGCCCAUGUACAAUAUUACAAAGGAGAAGUUGUUAUUUUUAUAUGACCUGCAUAACCAUCCGUGUACCGCAAAUGCCACAUGUUCUAGAUUGGCCAUGUACUAGUAUUUCCAACCGUAUCUGGAACUGUUGGGAAGCACAGUUCAGAAUCUGUCUUGAAAAUUUCAGAUAGUGUCAACGGUUCAAUGUCAUGUGCAUGUGCCGAUAUUUGUCAAAAGAAUGUUCUAUUUGUUUUGCUUGCCUUAACAAUUCAUUUCAUAGUAAGUUAACAACAGUUAGCAAAAGUGUGUUUCCUCUUUGCAUAAUGAUAGAUAUGCUUGUUUUCUGCAACAGAUCUCGUUUCUUAUUUUAAGCAAUCAUUCGCAUCGUAAUCUGGCUAUUUAACUAUUAAUAUUUAUGGUAACCUUACAUCGCACCACCUGCAGGAUUGUCCUGCCUUAUGCCAUGCUCAAAUUUAUCGCUUAUUUGUCACAUUUGAGCUUACAACUUAGGAGAGGCACAUAUGGUGUCUGGCUGUCCGUUGCUAGACAUAAUUGUUGGGUUUCCUUGGUGCUGCAGAAAUACAUGCUCAAGGAGAAGUUUCUAUUUUUAUAGCACCUGUCUAACCCAUCCAUGUACGACAACUAUCCUUUGCUAUGGAUUGACCAUGUAGUAUUUCUGCCUGUAUCUGACAAAUAUGUAAAUAUUGGGUGUUGUAUUUAGUACAGUUCAGAUUUCAGAACGUGUUCAAAAUGGAUAUUUCCCAUCGCUCAGUGUUAUGUGCAUGUACUAGUAUUUGUCAAGAACAUGAUCUAUUUAUUUUGCUUGUCUUAAUAAAAAAUCUACAUAAUAACAGAUGGCAAAAGUGUGCCUCCUUUUGCCAUAAUGAGAGUUAUGCUUGUUUUCUGCACCAUGUCUCUUUCUUAUUAUUUUUCAACUUCCUUAGACUCUAAGAAAGCAAUUAUUUGCACCGUAAUCUAGCUAUUUAACUAUAUAUCUUUGAACAUUUUCAGGUGCUGCGGUUUCUGUAACUUGGUUACACUUUACUGAGCUAGUAAUUUCUCUUUCGGUGAGGAUAAGAUAGUAUUUCUGUAUCUACGAAAUUACCCCUUCCGUAAACUAAAUAUAAGAGCAUUUAGGAAACUACUUUAGUAAACUAAAUGCUCCUAUAUUAGUUUACAUAGGGAGUACUAUACUAAACUUGGUUGGAUACUUUAGAGCAAGGAUAAAUGGUGCAGUAGUUUGCACAAUGUUUCUGGCAGUGUGUGAAGCAUUUUCUGAUUUACAUAUAGGAAAGCUAAGCAAGUCAACCUCGCUUUUCCUUACAGAGCAGAAAGCCUGCAAUAUUUCAUUGUCAGAUAUUUACAUAUCUUCCAGAUACGGUUGGAAAUACUAGUACAUGGCCAAUCUAGAACAUGUUACUCUUGAUUGGAAUUUCAUUGUCAGCAUACUAGUUUUUCUCAUUUAAUUUUCAGUAAAGAGGAGAUCUGUGCACCUCAGGUAGAAGAAUUCUGCUACAUCACUGACAAUAUAUACUUCAAGGAUGAGGCUAGUGUGAUAUUACAUCAGAUUGUUCAGUGUUUGUCAUUUUGUCUCCGUCAUUCUCUGAUUCAUAGAUAAACAGGUUUUGGACAUGGAAGCUGAUGUAUAUGUGUUUAGUAAUAUAUGUAGUCCUAUAUAUACACCAAAUGUUGAUGUAUAUGUGUUCUUGGCUGUAUAUAUGUUGAUGUAUGCAUAUUGUUUGCUAUAGUAGUAAUAUAUGUAAGUUGGUUGUUUACAACUCUUGGGUGUAGUUAUAACAUAUAUUAGCUGCUUGGAUGUGAGGUCAUGCUGUUAUUUAAAUACCUGGAGUGUUAGUUUACACUUUUUUGUAAAUGUUGUUAUUUAAACACCUGCAGUGUUAGUUCAUAUAUUAUUCUUAUUUUUUGCACAGGUGAAGUACAAACCCAAGUGUGAAGCUAUGAAGCGUAUCAACAAAGAGUAGCAUAUGUAUUGUAAUAGUAGGCAGUAGUAGGUAUAUCUGGGUUGUGGUGUCGUGUAAAGAUUGUAAUAGUCAAAUUUAAUGUUGGUUUGGACGAAUUUUAUUUGCUCCCUAGCCUGUUUGAAAUAUUGAUUCUGAAUGUGAUUUGAAUACCUAUAAAAUGGAAACUUGACAAGGGGACCAAGUUAUGAUAUUUAUUUGACAAAAUGUGAAAUUUUUAACGUGUGGGAUUAAUUUUGAGAUCAGCAUGACAUGUGGGACCAGUACAAAAUAAAAAUGGCGAAAAAAGAAAAUCAAUAGAAAGUAAAAGGCCACAAACCAAAAUUCAAAAAAAAUACUAGAAGUGGCUGUAAAUAUGCUAAGGCCCCAAAAGAAGCCCAAUAAGAAAAGUCCAAAAAAAUAAAACCAGCCCAUGUGAUCAAAUGAAAAGGGUUGGGCUGAUUUCAGCCAUGACGUUUUGAUUUUGUCGUAAUUUUGCCACGUAGGAUUGGGUUAGAUUGCCAACGACGAUUUAGGAUCUUCGUAAAGGUUACGAUGAUUCAGGAAUCGUCGUAAAGGUUACGACGAUUUUGAUCAAAACGUCGUUGAUGUUCAUUUGUGACGCUCCGUUUUCGACGCUUGGUUUUUCAUCGUGAGAUCAUCGUAAACUAAAAGCCGUGACGAUGUAGCGAUGAAAAUAUAGCGUCGUAUAUUAGCAUAUUCCUUGUAGUGACAAGAGUCAAUAAUCUAGUCUCACAUUGCUAUGCGAUUUACAUUGGAAUGAAUCUAACACCCAUACUGUUCUGGUGUUGAUCAUGCUUCGCUCGUGGAAGAGGUUUAGUCAGCGGAUCUGCUGCAUUCAGAUCCGUGUGCACUUUGCAAAUAUUUACGUCCUCUCCUUCAACGUAGUCUCGGAUGAGGUUGAAGCGUCGUUUGAUGUGUCUGGUCUUCUUGUGAAACCUUGGUUCCUUUGCUAAAGCAAUGGCACCAGUGUUAUCACAGAACAGAGUUAUUGGAUUUAGUGCGCUCGGCACAACUCCAAGAUCCGUCAUGAACUGCUUCAUCCAGACACCGUCCUUAGCUGCCUCCGAGGCAGCCAUGUACUCCGCCUCACAUGUAGAAUCUGCUAUGACGCUUUGCUUGAAACUGCACCAGCUUACCGCACCCCCAUUAAGAAUAAAUACGUAUCCGGUUUGAGACUUAGAGUCAUCCGGAUUAGUUUCAAAGCUUGCAUUGACGUAACCCUUUACGAUCUUCGUCACCUCCAUAAACGAGAAACAUUUCCUUAGUCCUUUUCAGGUACUUCAGAAUAUUCUUGACCUUCGUCCAGUGAUCCACUCCUGGAUUACUUUGAUACUUGCCUGCCAUACUUAUGGCCAGGCUGACGUUCGGUCUAGUGCACAGCAUUGCAUACAUGAUAGACCCUAUGGCUGAAGCAUAGGGGACCGUACUCAUCUUUUCUCUAUCUUCCACAGUUACUGGGCACUGAGUCUUACUCAACUUUAUACCUUGUAAUAUUGGCAAGAACCCCUUCUUGGACUGCUCCAUUUUGAACUUCUUCAAAACUUCAUCAAUGUUUGUGCUUUGUGAAAGUCCUAUUAGGUGUCUCGAUCUAUCCCUAUAGAUCUUAAUACCUAAUACGUAAGCAGCUUCCCCUAGGUCUUCCAUUGAAAAACAUUUGUUCAAAUAAUCUUUUACGCUCUCUAAGAACUCCACAUUGUUUCCAAUCAGCAAUAUGUCAUCCACAUAUAAUAUUAGAAACGCCACAGAGCUCCCACUCACUUUCUUUUAAAUACAAGAUUCUCCAACAACUUGUAUAAACCCAAAUGCUUUGAUCACCUCAUCAAAGCGUUCAUUCCAACUCCGAGAUGCUUGCACCAGUCCAUAAAUAGAUAGCUCGAGAUUGCAUACUUUGCUAGCAUUCUUUGGAUCGACAAAACCUUCGGGUUGCAUCAUAUACAACUCUUCCUUAAUAAAACCGUAAGGAACGCCAUUUUGACAUCCAUCUGCCAGAUUUCAUAAUCGAAAAAUGCAGCUAUUUCUAACAUGAUUCGGACGGACUUAAGCAUCGCUACCGGUGAGAACGUCUCAUCGUAGUCAACUCCUUGAACUUGUGAAAAACCCUUUGCCACAAGUCGAGCUUUAUAAACGGUUACAUUUCCGUCCGCGUCCGUCUUCUUCCUAAAGAUUCAUUUGUUCUGAAUAGCCUUGCGACCUUCAGGUAAUACUUCCAAAGUCCACACUUUGUUUUCAUACAUAGAUCCUAUCUCAGAUUUCAUGGCCUCUAACCAUUUGUUGGAAUCUGGGCCCACCAUUGCUUCUCCAUAAUUCGCAGGCUCAUUGUUGUCUAACAACAUGAUAGAUAAGACAGGAUUCCCGUACCACUCAGGAGCAGUACGUGAUCUUGUCGACCUGGAAGGUCCGAUAGCAACUUGAUCUGAAGCUUCAUGAUCAUCAUCAUUAGCUUCCUCCUCUACUGGUGUUGCCUCAACAGAGAUUUCCCUCUGCCCUGCGCCAUCAUCCUGUUGAAGCAGAGGUUCCACAACCUCAUCAAGUUCUACUUUCCUCCCACUCAAUUCUUUCGAAAGAAACUCUUUCUCAAGAAAAUCUCUGUUCUUAGCAACAAACAUUCUGCCCUCGGAUCUGAGAUAGAAGGUGUACCCAACUGUCUCUUUUGGGUAACCUAAGAAGACGCACUUUUCCGCUUUGGGUUCAAGCUUUUCAAGCUGAAGCUUUUUGACAUAAGCAUCACAUCCCCAAACUUUAAGAAAUGACAACUUUGGCCUCUUGCCAUACCAUAGCUCAUAUGGUGUCAUCUCAACGGAUUUUGACGGUGCCCUAUUUAAAGUGAAUCCAGUUGUCUCUAAUUCAUAACCCCAAAACGAUAACGGCAAAUCGGUAAGAGACAUCAUAGAUCGCACCAUAUCUAACAAAGUACGAUUACGACGUUCGGACACAUCAUUACGCUGUGGUGUUCCACGCGGUGUUAACUGUGAAACAAUUCCACAUUGUCCUAAGUGAGCACAAAACUUGAAACUCAGAUAUUCGCCCCCUCGAUCAGAACGCAGGAACUUGAUCUUCUUGUUACGAUGAUUUUCAUCUUCACUCUAAAUUGCUUGAACUUCUCAAACGUUUCAGACUUGUGCUUCAUCAAGUAGAUAUACCCGUACCUACUCAAAUCGUUAGUGAAGGUGAGAAAAUAACGAUAUUCGCCGCGCGCCUCCACACUCAUCGGACCGCACACAUCGGUAUAUAUGAUCUCCAACAAGUCACUUGCACGCUCCAUUUUUUCGGAGAACGGAGUCUUAGUCAUCUUUCCCAUGAGGCAUGGUUCACACGUGUCAAGUGAUCCAAAAUCAAGUGACUCCAAAAGCCCAUAAGAAUGGAGUUUCUUCAUGCGCUUUACUCCAAUAUGACCUAAGCAGAAGUGCCACAAAAACGUGGCGCUAUCAUGGUUAACUCUACAUCUUUUGGUCUCAAUGUUAUGUAUAUGUGUAUCAUCACAAUCAAGAUUCAAUAUGAACAAACCUCUCACAAUGGGUGCAUGACCAUAAAAGAUAUUACUCAUAGAAAUAGAACAACCAUUAUUCUCUGACUUAAACAAGUAACCGUCUCGCAAUAAACAAGAUCCGGAUAUAAUGUUCAUGCUUAACGCAUGCACUAAAUAAGAAUUAUUUAAGUUCAUAACUAAUCCUGAUGGUAAUUGAAGUGAGAUUGUGCCGACGGCGAUUGCAUCAACCCUGGAACCAUUUCCCACACGCAUCAUCACUUCAUCCUUCGCCAGCUCUCGUUUAUUCCGCAGUUCCUGCUUCGAGUUGCAAAUAUGAGCAACAGAACCGGUAUCAAAUACACACGCACUACUACGAGAGUUAGUUAAGUACACAUCAAUAACAUGUAUAUCACAUAUACCUGAUUUUUCUUUGGCCGCCUUCUUAUCAGCCAAAUACUCGGGGCAGUUGCGCUUCCAGUGACCCAUCCCCUUGCAAUAAUUAACACUUUGUUGCCGGCUUAGAUCCAGCCAUGGGUUUCUUCGUCGGAUUGGCAACAGUUUUGCCGCUCUUCUUGGAGUUACCCUUCUUGCCUUUGUCGUUUCUUUUGAAACCAAUGGUCUUAUUGACCAUCAACACUUGAUGCUCUUUUUGGAGUUCUGACUCUACGACUUUCAGCAUCGCGAAUAACUCGCCGGGUGACUUGUUCAUCCCUUGCAUGUUAUAGUUCAACACAAAGCUCUUAUAGCUAGGUGGCAGUGAUUGAAGAAUUCUGUCAGUGAUAGCUUCUUGCGGGAGUUCAAUCCCCAGCUUAGCUAGACGGUUUGAGUACCCAGACAUUUUGAGCACAUGUUCAGUGAGAGACGAAUUCUCCACCAUCUUGCAAGCAUAGAAUUUACCGGAGGUCUCAUACCUCUCGAUCCGGGCGUUCUUCUGAAAGAUAAACUUCAACUCCUGGAACAUCUCAUAUGCUCCAUGACGCUCAAAUCGUUGUUGAAUCCCGGUUCUAAGCCAUACAAGACUGCACAUUGAACUACUGAGUAGUCCUCCUUACGCGAUUGCCAAGCAUUCAAAACAUCUUGGUCAAACGUAGCGGGUGGUUCAUCUCCUAGCGCAGCAUCAAGGACAUAAUUCUUUUUCCCAGCUUGUAGGAUGAGCCUAAGAUUACGUGCCCAGUCUACAAAGUUGCUUCCAUCAUCUUUCAACUUAGCUUUCUGUAGGAAUGUAUUGAAAUUUAGGAUGCUACUGCGUGAGCCAUUGAUCUACAACAUAAAAUAUUGCAAAGUGGACUUAGACUAUGUUCAAGACAAUUAGAGUUUAACUAAUCAAAUUACUAAUAAAUUCCCACUCAAAAAAUACAUCCCUCUAGUCAUUUGAGUGGUGCAUGAUCCAAAUCCACUAACUCAAGUCCGAUCAUCGCGUGAGUUGAGUAUAGUUUCAGUGGUAAACAUCUCUAUGCUAAUCAUAUCAACUAUACGAUUCAUGCUCGACUUUCGGUCUCUUGUGUUCCGCGGCCAUGUCUGCACAUGCUAGGCUCGUCAAGUUUAACCCGAGUGUUCCGCGUGUGCAACUGUUUUGCACCCGUUGUAUGUGAACAUUGAGUCUAUCACACCUGAUCAUCACGUGGUGUCUCGAAAUGAUGAACUGUCACAACGAUGCACAGUCGGGGAGAACAUAAUUUCAUCUUGAAAUUUUAGUGAGGGUUCACCUUAUAAUGCUACCGUCGUUCUAAGCAAGAUAAGGUGCAUAAAAGGAUUAACAUCAGAUGCAAUUCAUGAGUGAUAUGAUAUGGCCAUGAUCUUCUGCUUCUUGAUCUCCAUCACCAAAGCACCGGAAUGAUCUUCUUUUCAUCGGCGCCAGACCAUGAUCUCCAUCAUCGUGCCGCCAUAGAGGUUGUCAUGCUAUCUAUGCUAUUACUACUAAAGCUAGAACCUAGCAAUAUAGUAAACGCAUCUGCAAACACAAACGUUAGUUUAAAGACAUCCCUAUGGCUCCUAUCGGUUGUCGUAGCAUCGAAGUGCAAGUCGAUAUUAACUAUUACAACAUGAUCGUCUCAUACAUCCAAUAUAUCACAUCAUGUCUUUGGCCAUAUCACAUCACAAGCAUACCCUGCAAAAACAAGUUAGACAUCCUCUAAUUUGUUGUUGCAUGUUUUACGUGGCUGCUAUGGGUAUCUAGUAUAAUCGCAUCUUACUAACGCAAAAACCACAACGGUGAUGUGCAAAUUGCUAUUUAACCUCUCUCCAAGGACCGCCUCGGUCAAAUCCAAUUCAACAAAGUUGAAGAAACCGACACCCGCCAGUCAUCUUUAUGCAACGAGUUGCAUGUUAGUCGUUGAAACCAGUCUCUCAUAAGCGUACGAGUAAUGUCGAUCCGGGCCGCUUCAAUCCAACAAUACUGCCGAAUCGAGAAAAGACUAAGGAGUGAAGCAAAUCGCACAUCAACGCCCAUAAAACCUUUUGUGUUCUACUCGAGAUAACAUCUACGCAUGAACCUAGCUCAUGAUGCCACUGUUGGGGAACGUUGUAUGGGAAACAAAAAUUUCCUACACAAACGACACUACUAGGAAAAGGCCUGCUAGUGGCGCACCUAUUUUGGCUACUAAUGGCGCACUAUAGGUGUGCCACUAGCAUCACGCCAUUAGAUUUUUUUACUAAUGGCCGCCAUUAGUAUCUGGUAUACUAAUGGCUCACCAGGCAGUGCGCCAUUAGUAUAGCUCAUGGUACGCCAUUAGUAUGCCUCCCAGGUGCGCCAUUAGUAUGCCUCCCAGUUGCGCCAUUAGUAUAGAUCAUGGUGUGCCAUUAGUAUAGCUCAUGGUGCACCACAGGUUGUACUACCAGCUCUAAAAAUAUUCAAUUAUUAUCCUCACACGCACAAGAAGGUUCAAGAUAAACACAUAUUACACCACAAUCAAAAUAUGUUUAUAAACAUGCACAUACAUUGAACGCAAGUUGACAAACAAAUUAACCUAGAGGAAGCAUAGUUUUGACCAUCUUAUCAAUCAUCUAGAACACACAAGUCACAAAAAGAUAAGGACUAUUGGUUACUAUGAGAGACUUCAGAUGGUCCAGAACACACAAGUUUGUAUCUACAUGCACAAAGUGCAAGAUCCAAAACACUCGAAACACCAAAUGGUCUACAAGACAAUAAGGUCCAUGAUUACAGGUUGGUUGGUCCAUAAACACUAGAGAGUCAUCAUGUCCAUGUACAUCAAUAGGUUGAGUACCUGAAAACAUUUUGCACAAAUUUGUCAAGAAAGUGGAACCAGAUCAACUUAAUGGAAGAAUAUUCCAGUGUGAUUUUUGGGAUCAACUUUCAGAGUGUUUUUUAUCAACUUUCGAGGUGCUUUUCCUGAAGGAAUAAGUGGACCCUUUGGAUAGUAUAUUAGAACAAUCAAGUAAUACGAUUUGAUGGUAAAAGAAAGAUAUAACAGCAACCCAUCCAUUUGGAAAAGACCAGAGUAGAUCAACCUACAUCAUAUUUGUACCAUACAGUAGUACACGUAAGCUUUUUGCACGUAAACUAACAGGCAAGCGAAUGAGAAGGUGACUGAAGGGAAAAAUUAUACCUAGACGAGGACCUCCCAUGAAUACUCGACACAUCCGUCUCUGAACCUCCCAUAAAACCUGAAGGGCCAGUUCCCAUCAGGAAGGUGCAUUUCCCAUGGCGUUGAAGUCAUUGGGCUUGACGCCGGCGCGGAUGCACUUCUGGGUAUUACAUCAUAGUGGAGGCGAUAAGUGGGGUCCUGGGCAGCACCACAUGAUGGCCAAGGAAUACUGGCUUUAACUGAUUCAUCCAGGCAUUACAGAUCGUGUGACUUGUAACUAUAGAGGAACCCGCGUCUAUCAACUUAUCUGUCACCGCCACCCACUCUGGCGCUACUGCCGGUGGCCAAACCCACCACCACGGUCUCCAGUCACCAGAAUAGAAUGGACAUCAGCUAAAAACCAAAGUAUGGAAAAUAUCAAAUGAGCUGCAUAUUUGUAAGGUGACUCAAAGUUUCUUAAGUAUAGCUACAUAUUUUUGCCAUGCAGCUUGUUCCACAGAAACAAUAUUAACGCCUCUAAAUAGCUGAAAAUAAGUAUACUAAACUCAUGAUCAAUACACAUCUCUUUUCUUAUUAUUAGGCAUCAUGUGUCGUGCAAACGAUUAAUACAUAAAAAAAAGAUGAACCAAAAAUAUGAGUACAUACAUGUUGUCCUCCAACAAAUAAAAAAUAGGAAAAAAAAAGAUGCAUAUUCCAAAAGGCCACAUGCUUCAGAUUUUAGCAAAUGUAACUACAACUAUCAGUUCUGUGGGGGGGAGAUUUAAAAGGUAACAUAGUAACGUGCUGUAUCUCCCCUUGUAGCUUGCCGAAUCCUUAUUUAAUCAAUGCCGCUCACAAAUGCAUAAGAACCAUUCCAAUGUGCUGAUGGGCACAAUCUCAAUGCCACUCACAAAUGCAUAAGAACCAUUCCGAUGUGCUGAUGGGGCAAAGGUGAGGUCCAAGCUGCCUGAAGAAACGUUCACUGAGAAUUCACGCACAAGGUAGGCAAAACUGAUAUCCUGUGCUGUUUGUGAAACAUUAGAAUCAUUUAAGAGGACAAGAUUUCCUGUCGUGACACCGAAGAAGGCAUUGGAGAUAGCAUAGUCUCCAUCGUCAUCAUAGUACUCACCCGGACAGAAGUAGAGGCGAAAGAACAUGCGGCCUGGGCUGACAAGGAAGGAAUAGGUGUAAUUUGAAGUGAAGAUGCGUGCAGUCCUCCAAGGGAUUAUGUAGUGCAGGUCAUUGAAAUGAGCAGUGGCUGCAACUCCUUUUACUGAUGGCGCGAACUUGGAGUCAGCAUCCUCAUACAUAAACUGUGCAUAAGAUGGAGUACCCUGCAAAGAAUAUAGACAGGCAAAAUGUACUUAGACUAGCAUACAUAGGGAAAAAGAUGGUAAAAUAGUGCUACCAAUCAAUUUUGAUGAAGAAAAACAUUUGGGAAAACGGAACUGAGCAAACCUCUAAGCGCAUACAUAGGAGAACUUGAGAAAUUACGAUAGGAAUUAUCAGUACAGGGCCACCAAUAUCCUGCACAUCACAUAGUUUGUCUACAUCAGGAUCCCUUCGGAGAAUAAUGAAAUAUUGAUGAUUCAGUUAUUGCUAUACCAAGGAUUCACUGUAUACCGACAAUUGGAUUGGACCACCUUAAGCAGACAAGAAAAGCAAAGCACUGGAAAAUCCUGUAAAAUUUGUCAUCAGGUAAUUAAUGAGGCCGGCUCGUUGCUGGGCCUGUCCCAUGGGGCAGGACGCUGGCGAAUCCCCAAAGAUGUAAGAUACUCACUGUAUCCCACUGCAUGACAAGCAUGUAAAGGUCCAAAAAUUGGUAAAAAGAUAUAUUUGUAGUUUCGAAAAUAAUCUGGAAUGUACACGUUAGGACACACGUCAUUCCACACAAUUCUGUGUGAAAAAUCUUUUCAAAUCUGUCCGACAUGAGAAAACAUAAAUACAGUGAUCUAAAACAGCAAACCAUAGCAACAGUACCUGCUAUCGCAGAUAAUCACAUUUUUUGUGUUUUUGUGCAAGACCGCAAAUGAUUUUCAAUGAAAAAUUGCAGAUUCAUAGUCUAUUAGAAAAUUUACAUAUUAGAAUGUUUCUUGAAUUUUCUGGAACUCGUAACUCUUUGAUUUAUUUCCUUUUUGAAGAAAAUGCUAACUAAAGCUUGAGCCAAAAGCAAUAUCCAGUCAGAUGGCAUAUCUCAGGAGGAGAGUCACAAAGCACGCAUGAAGUAGAAGUUCUUAGAGUUGGAAGUACCUGAACAUUUAUAUCACAUACUGAAUUAAGAAUAAAAAGGACAAAAAAGGAAAAGGGAAGGUGAUGUACAUGAAUGGACUCACCUGUUCGAAACCUCCUUUGGAUAACUCCCACUACCUGGUCAUGCGGGAUCCUUCUAGGUAGCUUAGGCGCCACUCCUCCCAGGUCGUGCGCAUGCACCGGCAUGCAUGGCUUGCAGCCGUUGUAACCAACACCACAGCGUGUAUAUAUGUGUACUCUCUGAUGCAAUACAAUCAUCAAUCUCAGCACAUUAUUCUCUAGUUUGGUAUCAGCCCUCUUCUCGAUCCUAUCCCACCAUGCACCGUCUCCUCCGCCGCACCCGCUCGGCCGAGCUUGACGGUGCCUCUCCACCACCCGCCGCUCCCGUUCCUCUCGCUGCUGCACCCGCCGUGCUCGCCCCACGGCCUCCAGCCCCGGCCGUCGCCCCCGCGCCCUGUCGUGCCUCCCCCGCCGCCCUCGGCAAAACUGCCGUACGGGACGACGGCGCGGCCUCCUCCUCCGCGACGCCUACUCCUCCUGCCAUGGGUGCCCUCCGCACAGCGGGCAGCGUCGCCAUCCCACGCCCUCCUCUCGGCGUUCCGGAUCGCGCCCUCGUCCCCGCUCUCGGCCUCGACUGCGACGCCGGGCCUUCCUCCGUGGCCAACGGCCUGCCCGCCUCCAUCGCGCACUUCUUCUCCGCCAAACUUCACCUCGAGUCCGGCAACUACACCCGCUGGCGCCAGCUCUUCUACCUCGUCGCCUGCAAACACGAGGUCCAGCACCACCUUGACGACGCCACUGAGCCCCUCGCCCAGAGUGCCCUCUGGCACACCGAUGACCUCACCGUCGUCCUCUGGCUGCAUGGAGUCGUCGACGACGAGCUCCUGGCUGCCGUCGCCACCCCCGCCAGCUCUGCGCACCACAUCUGGAUGCAGCUCCACCUCCUCUUCACGGACAACCAGCCUGGCCGCGCCGUCAUCCUCGGCGCCGAAUUCCGCACCCUCGUCCAGGGCGACCUCUCCAUCGCCGAGUACAGCCGCCGCCUCAAGUCCCUCGCCGACGCCCUCGCGGAUGUCGGCGAGCCUGUCUCCGACCAAUCCCUUACCCUGCAGCUGCUGCGCGGCCUUAGCCGCAAGUUCCACGUCAUGGCCACCCUCCUCCCGAUGCAGUCGCCCUUCCCCUCCUUCAUCCAGGCUCGCUCCAAGCUGCUCAUGGAGGAGCUCUCCGCCAACGAACGCGCCCGCCUCGACGGACGCCCCGAAGGAACGGCCACCGCCCUCGCCAUCGGGCACGCUCCUGGCGGGACCUCCGUCACCACCUCCGGGCACCACCAGUGGCUCCACCGACCGCGACAGAGGCCCCGCCUCUCCUGCCAGCGAUCGCGACCGAGGAGGACGCGGCCGUGGCCGCGGACGUGGACGUGGGCGCGGCUCCGGCGCCGGGCGCGGUUCGCCUUCUCCGGGACCCGCCGCACCACCAGCUGGCUUCUUCGCCCCCUACGGCACCCUCCUCACCAACGUACCCGCUGCUCGGCCUCCCUGGGUGGCUCCCAACGCAGCCGGCCUCCUCGGCCCGCGUCCGCCUCCGGUGCACCAGGCCUAUCCCGUGGCCGCCCCUCCCACUCCCAGCAUCGGGCGAUCUUGGGAGCAGUACCACCAACUCUACGCGGCCCUCCAGAACCUGACCCUGCAGCAACAACAUGCCGGCGGCACGCCGGACUGGUUCCUCGACACGGGCGCUACGUCGCACGUCGCAGGUAACGCAAACACUCUCACCUCGUAUGGUUCUCCCUCUUUGCGUCACUCCUCUGGCAUCCUCGUCGGUGACGGUUCCCGCCUACCCAUCACUGCCGUCGGCUCCACCUCUCUCUCCAAUUUUUCUCUCAAUGAUGUGUUGAUCUCCCCCUCCAUCAUCAAAAAUCUUAUUUCAGUACGCCGUUUCACUAUAGACAACUUUUGCUCUAUUGCUUUUGACCCUUUCGGUUUUUCCGUGACGGACCUAGCAACGGGGAGGCUGAUCAUGAGAUCAAAUAGUCAUGGAGACCUCUACCCUUUCUUCAGCAACUCCGGUGUGCAGGCAGCCCUCUCCAUCACCACCGACGAUCUCUGGCAUCUUCGCUUGGGUCACGCCAACAAUAACGCCGUCUCCACCAUCGCCCGUAGUUUUCUUCCCAAUUGUAAUAACAUCCCUAGUCACCAUGUGAUGGGGUUAUAGUCCUAGGGUAGGGUCAUAGGCCUGCCCUAUAGGUCCUACCCAGGGACUACCGCUCGCAGAGGACAAGACCCUUAGUCAACUCCGACUGAAUUAAGGAAUCCCUGUCGUCCAGUCGGUAACAUACCCUCGGUCCUCCAGUCGGUGACUAGCAUUCNCGGAACCGUUGUGGAGGGCAGCGCACUCUAUAUAAGCCACCCUCCCCCACUGGUAGAGGGGUUAGCAAAUCAUUGUAUUCCAUAUUCCACUCGACAACAAGCUCCGAGAGCACUGAGACGUAGGGCUGUUACCUCCACCGGAGAGGGGCCUGAACUCAUACAAUCUCGCCGUAGCUAUGACUCUGCCCAUCUCAUUCGUACCCUACACAUCUACUGUCAGGCUUAUACCCACGACAGUUGGCGCCCAUCGUGGGGCAGGCGUCUAAGCGACUUCUGGCGAGUUUGCGACUACUUCCUUUCGUCAUGUCGUCCGGUGGAGAUUCGAGCAUGGGUCACCAGAUCUUCUUCGGCGCUCUUUCCUUCAUCGUCGACGAUUCGGCGUGGCUUCGGGAGGCUCCUCUCGACGUCGAGGCGCUUCCCGUCGUGGGGCUACGCACUUCCGUGCCGGCGCCCACGGCAUUCUUCUUCUCCAACAAUAGGCUCCGUUGUCGACCUGCACCUCCGUCAUGCGCCGAAACAAGCGGUCCCGCCGUCCGCGUCUCCAGCAUUGGGUGCAGCACGCCCAGGCGCGCCAGAUCGCGUCUUCUCAGGUGGCAGUUCUGGAGUCUGUUGUGAUUGCCCCGCGUUCCCAGCGCUCGGGCUCAGUUCCGACUGAGUUUCCUUCCGAGUACGCGGGUCGCGGGCCUGCAGCAGAAGUUCACAUGGCCAACUCCCAUAAAGAUCCCCGUCAAGCUGGCCGAAGCGAGCGCGAGGUCGGUGAAGCAUCCGGUGCGCGCCGUCCACCUCGCCGUUCUGCCAGUCGACACACUCGGCGGAGCAACGUGGAGUUGUUCCGCACGCCCCUCCUCAACUUGGCUGCAGCUGCCAAGAUAGCCGAUUCCCUCCAGCCGACUGAUUCAGAGGCAGGAAGGGGGAUCGAGCAGAUCCGAGCCCUGUUGCACAUGACACAACAACAGAAUUCGGCGGUCUCCCAGUCGCACAACCGGAUCUAUAAUAGUUCCGUCCACGGGAAUACGCAUCGGUCGGUUCACAGCCCUGGUUCCCAUCAGCGCCACAGGGGAGGCAGCCGUUCCAUGAUUCAUGAAGAUCGACGCCGCUCAUGCACCCCUCUGCGGGGUGGGCCCUAUGGGUCCCGACGUCAUGAUGAUCGGCGUUCAGUCGGCGACACUUACGACCCAAGACCCGACGCAAGAGGACAUAUCGCCCAGCGAAGAGUCGACAGAGGUCGAGCCCACCGUGAUGGUCACUAUAUGGACCGUCCAAGUGGAAGCAGGGCCAUCGUGUCCGGUACCGAGUGUUUUAGUCGAGCCAUCCGCUCAGCUGACAUCCCGCCCAACUUCCGAUUGGCAGCGGGAAUCAGUAGGUUUACAGGAGAGUCCAAACCGGAAACGUGGUUGGAUGACUACCGAGUGGCAGUCCAGAUCGGAGGAGGGGACGACCAUGUCGCCAUGAAGCACCUCCCUCUGAUGCUCGACGGCUUGGUGCGAGCGUGGCUGAACCAGUUGGCCCCCUCGAGCAUUUACAGUUGGGCGGAUCUGGCCCGAGUGUUCAUCAGGACCUUUGAAGGGACAUGCAAGCACCCUGCAGGCCUCGUGGAGCUCCAGCACUACGUCCAGAAGCCGAAUGAGCCCCUGCGCGACUUCAUCCAGCGUUGGACAACUCUCUACCACACGGUGGAGAACGUCACCGAGCAUCAAGCAGUCUGCGCCUUCAAGGCAGGCGUGCGGUACAGAGAGCUGUACCUAAAGUUCGGUCGAACAGGCGACAUCUCCAUGAGCAAGAUGAUGGAGAUAGCGGCUCGCUAUGCAAAUGGCGAAGAAGAGGACCGCAUCCGGAGCGGCAAGCACAAGACAGUCGGUGAUGGAGACGGGAGUAACACUCGGAAACAGAAGCAUAAAGCUCCAUCCACUCCGCAAGCAGAGGCUGCAGUCGUGACCAAUGCCAAGUUCAAGGGCAAAGGGAAGGCGCAGUUUACCCCCAAGAAGAAGCAGUUCAACAAUCCCAUCCUGGACCAGCCUUGUCCGGUUCACACGAAGAGGGCAACCCCAUAUAUGCGAAGCAUACCACUCGACAGUGUCGUCUCCUGAUCCAGGGUUUCAGCGAGGGGCAACCAAGUGAGAAGGACCCUGAACAAGAUGAGGAGGAUAAGGAGGAUUCGUUCCCCCAAGUCCAUGCAACCCUCAUGAUUUUUGCUGACAUCGAAAGCAAGAGUCGACUGAAGCUGGUGAACAGGGAGGUUAACAUGGCCACUCCAACCAGUCCCAAGUUCCUUAAAUGGUCUCAGACUGCGAUCACUUUCGACCAGUCGGAUCAUCCAGUACAUGUACCCACCCCGGGAAGACAGGCUCUGGUCGUCGACCCGGUAGUGGAAGGAGUCUGACUGCGCAAAGUCCUCAUGGAUGGCGGUAGCGGCUUGAACAUCAUGUACGCCGACACACUCAAGGGGAUGGGCAUUCCGAUGUCCAAACUCAGCGAGAGCAGCAUGCAGUUCCACGGAGUCGUCCCUGGACGGAAGGCCAAGUCACUCGGCCAGAUCGCGCUGGACGUCAUUUUCGGCUCCGACAAGAACUUCCGCAAGGAGAAGCUGACGUUCGAAGUGGUCGAUUUCCAGAGCGCUUAUCACGCAAUUCUGGGUCGCCCAGCGUAUGCGCGUUUCAUGGCCCGUCCAUGUUACGUAUACCUGAAGCUGAAGAUGCCAGGCCCGAAGGGUGUGAUCACCAUCACGGGCAAUCGACAGCGAGCCGAAGAGUGCCUACAGCAAGGUUCAAGAAUCGCCGACCAGCAGAUGGCCGUUCUCGAGCUCGACGAGUACAAGAAAACAGUCGACCCCGCCGACCUGAUGCGCUCGAAGAAGCCAGCUUCUGAAUCUGCGUUCCAGUCGGCAGGAGAGACGAAGAAGGUCAGCAUCCACCCCACGGACGACUCUGCUGCACCGACGAACAUCUCCACCACCCUCGAUCCUAAAUAGGAAGCCGAGCUCACCCAAUUCCUCCGUGAGAACUGGGACAUCUUCGCAUGGAAACCCUCUGACAUGCCAGGUGUACCCAGGGAGUUGACUGAGCAUCGACUGCACGUGGAUCCUGCCGCUCGGCCCGUCCGAGAGCGCCUGCGCCGGUCCGCCGCGCACAAGAGGAAGGCAAUCGGGGAAGAGGUGGCCAAACUGCUAGCAGCCAACUUCAUUCGCGAGGUUCACCACUCCGAGUGGCUCGCCAAUGUUGUCAUGGUGCCCAAGAAGGACAAGUCGCUCCGAAUGUGCAUCGACUUCAAGCAUCUCAAUAAGGUCUGCCCGAAAGACCAUUUUCCGCUCCCCCGCAUAGAUCAAAUUGUCGAUUCGACUGCGGGUUGCGAGCGUCUGUCAUUUCUUGAUGCCUACUCGGGCUAUCAUCAGAUCUGUCUGUAUGGUCCCGAUGAGUUAAAAACAGCCUUCAUCACCCCAUUCGAGUGCUUCUCCUACAUCACUAUGCCCUUCGGUCUGAAGAAUGCAGGAGCUACCUUUAUGCGCAUGAUCCAAAAAUGUCUCCUCGACCAAAUCGGUCGGAAUGUGGAGGCAUAUAUGGAUGAUAUCGUAGUCAAGUCACGCAAAGGUUCCGACCUGCUGACUGACUUGGCAGAAACAUUCGCCAACCUUCGUAGGUACGAUAUCAAGCUCAACCCAGCCAAAUGUUCGUUCGGUGUUCCCAGCGGAAAGUUACUCGGUUUCUUCGCUUCUGAACGAGGGAUCGACGUCAACCCCGAAAAGAUCGGGACCAUCGUCCGAAUGGAGAGGCCGGUCAGACUACAUGAUGUUCAACGGCUCACAGGUUGCCUAGCGGCUUUGAGCGGGUUCAUCAGUCGACUCGGCGAGAAAGCACUUCCUCUGUACCGACUCAUGAAGAAAUCAGAUACUUUCGAGUGGACAGACGAAGCCCAAGUCGCAUUCGACGACCUCAAAGUCCUACUUUCCACCCAGCCGGUUCUUACUGCUCCGCUCAGUAAAGAGCCCCUUCUUCUGUAUAUCACGGCUACAAAUCAAGUCGGCAGUACUGUUCUUACAGUCGAACGAGAAGAAGAAGGCAAAGCAUACAAAGUUCAACGGCCAGUGUACUACGUCUCCGAAGUCCUGACUCCUUCCAAGCAGAGGUAUCCCCAUUAUCAAAAACUUAUCUACGGGAUUUACAUGACUGCGAAGAAGGUGGCCCAUUAUUUCCAAGACCACUCGGUGUCUGUCGUUUCUGAUGCUCCAUUGUCGGAAAUUCUCCACAAUCAAGAUGCGUCAGGUCAAGUGGCGAAGUGGGCAAUGGAGAUGUUGUACUGCGACAUCAAGUUCGAGGCCAAGAAAGCUAUUAAGUCUCAAGCUCUGGCUGACUUUAUAGCAGAAUGGGUAGAACAACAGCAACCGACCCACAUCUGCUCGGCUCAUUGGACAAUGUUCUUCGAUGGGUCUAAGAUGUUGAAUGGCUCCGGCGCUGGCGUUGUGAUCAUAUCACCAAAGGGCGACAAGCUCAAGUACGUGCUACAGAUACACUUCGAUUCCUCCAAUAACGAGGCAGAGUAUGAAGCUCUCCUCUACGGAUUGCGCAUGGCCAUCUCACUCAGCGUCCAUCGCCUGAUGGUCUACGGCGAUUCGGAUUUGGUGGUCAAUCAAGUGAUGAAAGAGUGGGACGUCAGGAACCCCACCAUGACCACAUACUGCAAUGCAGUGAGGAAGCUGGAGAAGAAGUUUAAAGGUCUAGAGCUCCACCAUGUACCGAGAUUGAAGAACCAAGCAGCUGAUGAGUUGGCAAAACUCGGAUCCACUCGGAGACCAGUCCCGAGUGAUGUCUGCCUCGAGCACCUCCACCUUCCCUCAGUCAAAGAAGAUCCUUUCACAGAGGAACCAGUACAACCCAAGAGCUCAACAGAUCCGACUGAAGUCGAUGUACCUGCUGUGGUUGAUCUGGUCAUGGAGCUUCUGGCUGUCAUCCCCGAUUGGACUGUGCCGAUCAUUGCAUAUGUCCUGAGGCAAGAACUUCCAGAAGACGAAGUCCAAGCCAGGCAAAUAGUCCGCAGGUCGAAGUCAUUCACUGUCAUCGACGACCAAUUGUACAAGGAAAUCGUCUCAGGUGUUCUUCAACGAUGCAUCUCCCCAGAGGAGGGGCAGCUGAUCCUGGAGGAUAUUCACUCGGGAACCUGCGGUCAUCACGCUUCUUCGAGAGCAAUCGUCGCCAAGGCGUUCAGAGCCGGUUUCUUUUGGCUGCAGGAAAACGAGAUGGCUAAAGAUAUGGUCGACCGAUGUGGAGGCUGUCAGUUCUACUCCAACAAAUCCCACAAGCCAACAUCUGCGUUGAAGACAAUUCCUCUUGUGUGGUCGUUUGCAGUUUGGGGAUUAGAUUCAGUCGGACCAUUCAAGACAGGCCAAGGGGGAUACACACAUCUGUUGGUGGCAGUCGACAAGUUCACGAAAUGGAUCGAAGCCAAGCCCAUCAAGAAACUCGACGCCUCAACAGCCGUCAAGUUUAUUAGGGACAUCAUCUCCAGAUUCGGUGUACCCCACAUCAUAAUCACGGACAAUGGGACAAACUUCGACUCGGACAGGUUCAAAGGUUUCUGUGCAAGCCAAGGUAUCCGAGUGGAUUUUGCUUCCGUAGCACAUCCUCAGUCCAAUGGACAAGCUGAGCGGGCGAACGGGCUUAUUCUUCAAGGUUUGAAGCCCCGACUCCUACGAGAGGUGGGACACGCCGCUGGCGCAUGGGUCACCGAGUUACCUUCAGUGCUUUGGGGUCUCCGCACCACUCCGAACAGAUCAAUGGGGCGAUCACCGUUCUUCCUCGUCUAUGGAGCAGAAGCGGUCCUCCCGAGUGACUUGCUUCAUAAUGCUCCACGAGUCGAACUCUUCUCCGAAGCUGAAGCAGAACAAGCAAGGCAAGAUGGAGUAGAUCUUCUAGAGGAGGAGCGCGAGAUGGCGCUAACUCGUUCAACCAUUUAUCAGCAAGAUCUGCGACGCUUUCAUGCGCGUCACGUCAGAAGUCGCACAUUCCAAGCAGGCGACUUAGUGCUCCGAGUGGAUCAGCAAAGACCCCACAAGUUGGCUCCGGCCUGGGAAGGACCUUUCAUCAUCUCCAAGGUGCUAAACAACGGAGCAUACAGACUCUACAACAUCCAGAGGGAGACAGACGAGCCGCGUGCAUGGAACGGAGACCUCCUCAAGCGCUUCUACACGUGAUCGUCGACUGAAGCAGUGUAAAGAACAAAUAUUGAUGAAAUAAUAUAAAGCAGAUUCAGUUCUUGCAGAUUCCGAAUUCUUCCGCGGUUGCUGACUCCGGUCACACACACACAAAAAAAAAA